GUGCCGGCAGCCGCGGUAAUACAGAGGGUGCAAGCGUUAAUCAGAAUGACUGGGCGUAAAGGGCGUGUAGGUGGUUGACUAGGUUUGAUGUGAAAUCCCCGGGCUUAACCUGGGAAUUGCGUCGAAAACGGGUCGACUAGAGUGAGAUAGAGGGUUGUGGAAUUUCCGGUGUAGCGGUGAAAUGCGUAGAUAUCGGAAAGAACAUCAGUGGCGAAAGCGACAACCUGGAUCUUAACUGACACUGAGGCGCGAAGGCGUGGGGAGCAAACAGGAUUAGAAACCCGUGUAGUCC
This 292-nucleotide ribosomal RNA is filed under the name uncultured Rickettsiella sp. Its description in RNAcentral is "partial 16S ribosomal RNA". It matches the Rfam family "Bacterial small subunit ribosomal RNA", at positions 505 to 796 of the family's 1533-position model. Lineage: Bacteria; Pseudomonadati; Pseudomonadota; Gammaproteobacteria; Legionellales; Coxiellaceae. The record is from RNAcentral.